Molecule: long non-coding RNA, 779 nt
Filed under: Phoenix dactylifera (date palm)
Lineage: Eukaryota; Viridiplantae; Streptophyta; Magnoliopsida; Arecales; Arecaceae
Description: long non-coding RNA (PDAC_LNC012458)
Source: RNAcentral
AGGGGGAAGAAGGUGAAGAUCCUCAGAGAUUUCUGGAGGAGACUGAAAAGAUGAUACGGAGACUGCCCUAUUCUGAUGCAAGAGCUAUAGAACUUGUAGGGCUUACAAUGAAGGAAGAUGCCUGGGACUGGUACCAGAGACAAGUGGAGGACAGAUUGUACAGUAGGAAUCCUUCAACCUGGGAAGAGUUCAGGCAAGCAGUGAUGGAUGAGUUUUUGUCUCCGGCUGAGAGGCAAAAUCGGGCUCUUCAGUUUGAGCGUAUCUGAGUACGCUCGUGAGUUCACUAGAUUGGGGAAGUAUGCUCCUUACAUCAUCCCCACUAAAGCUGCCAGGAUAGAAAGAUUCAGGCGGGGUCUGAUUUUCCCGCUUUAUAAUGCAGUACUGGCAGUAGAGGUCCCCACCUUGUCUNNNNNNNNNNNNNNNNNNGGAAUGAGCGUAUCUAAGUACGCUCGUGAGUUCACUAGAUUAGGAAGUAUGCUCCUUACAUCAUCCCCACUGAAGCUGCCAGGAUAGAAAGAUUCAGGCGGGGUCUGAUUUCCCCGCUUUAUAAUGCAGUACUGGCAGUAGAGGUCCCCACCUUAUCUAGGCUGAUUGAUAAAACAAAACAGUGGGAGACCAGAAACAAAGAGGAAAGAGCUGAAAGAGAACAGAGGAAAAUGAGUAUGGGGAAAGGGCAAAGCAGUAGAGAUAGAUCUGAGGGAGUAGAUCUCUCGGAGGACCCGAUGGAGCAGUCUGUACGCUCAGCUCCACCUGCCCCACGUAAGAGGAAAUGGAGGGNN